This 1383-nucleotide ribosomal RNA is filed under the name Cryobacterium sp. TMT1-66-2. Its description in RNAcentral is "16S ribosomal RNA". It matches the Rfam family "Bacterial small subunit ribosomal RNA". The record is from RNAcentral. Lineage: Bacteria; Bacillati; Actinomycetota; Actinomycetes; Micrococcales; Microbacteriaceae.
GAAGAGGAGCUUGCUCCUUGGAUCAGUGGCGAACGGGUGAGUAACACGUGAGCAAUCUGCCCUUGACUCUGGGAUAACUGCGGGAAACUGUAGCUAAUACCGGAUAUUACCUUGGAAGGCAUCUUCUGGGGUGGAAAGAAUUUUGGUCAAGGAUGAGCUCGCGGCCUAUCAGCUAGUUGGUGAGGUAAUGGCUCACCAAGGCGACGACGGGUAGCCGGCCUGAGAGGGUGACCGGCCACACUGGGACUGAGACACGGCCCAGACUCCUACGGGAGGCAGCAGUGGGGAAUAUUGCACAAUGGGCGCAAGCCUGAUGCAGCAACGCCGCGUGAGGGACGACGGCCUUCGGGUUGUAAACCUCUUUUAGUAGGGAAGAAGCGACUGGGUUUUCCUGGGAGUGACGGUACCUGCAGAAAAAGCACCGGCUAACUACGUGCCAGCAGCCGCGGUAAUACGUAGGGUGCAAGCGUUGUCCGGAAUUAUUGGGCGUAAAGAGCUCGUAGGCGGUUUGUCGCGUCUGCUGUGAAAACCCGAGGCUCAACCUCGGGCCUGCAGUGGGUACGGGCAGACUAGAGUGCGGUAGGGGAGAUUGGAAUUCCUGGUGUAGCGGUGGAAUGCGCAGAUAUCAGGAGGAACACCAAUGGCGAAGGCAGAUCUCUGGGCCGUAACUGACGCUGAGGAGCGAAAGCAUGGGGAGCGAACAGGAUUAGAUACCCUGGUAGUCCAUGCCGUAAACGUUGGGAACUAGAUGUGGGGACCAUUCCACGGUCUCCGUGUCGCAGCUAACGCAUUAAGUUCCCCGCCUGGGGAGUACGGCCGCAAGGCUAAAACUCAAAGGAAUUGACGGGGGCCCGCACAAGCGGCGGAGCAUGCGGAUUAAUUCGAUGCAACGCGAAGAACCUUACCAAGGCUUGACAUAUACCGGUAACGCCUGGAAACAGGUGCCCCGCAAGGUCGGUAUACAGGUGGUGCAUGGUUGUCGUCAGCUCGUGUCGUGAGAUGUUGGGUUAAGUCCCGCAACGAGCGCAACCCUCGUCCUAUGUUGCCAGCACGUAAUGGUGGGAACUCAUGGGAUACUGCCGGGGUCAACUCGGAGGAAGGUGGGGAUGACGUCAAAUCAUCAUGCCCCUUAUGUCUUGGGCUUCACGCAUGCUACAAUGGCCGGUACAAAGGGCUGCGAUACCGCAAGGUGGAGCGAAUCCCAAAAAGCCGGUCUCAGUUCGGAUUGAGGUCUGCAACUCGACCUCAUGAAGUCGGAGUCGCUAGUAAUCGCAGAUCAGCAACGCUGCGGUGAAUACGUUCCCGGGCCUUGUACACACCGCCCGUCAAGUCAUGAAAGUCGGUAACACCCGAAGCCAGUGGCCGAACCCGUAAGGGACGGAG